UYCCGGUUGAUCCCGCCGGRAGGUUACUGCUAUCGGUGUUCGCUUAAGCCAUGCGAGUCAUAUGUAGCAAUACAUGGCGUACUGCUCAGUAACACGUGGAUAACCUGCCCUUGGGUCCGGCAUAACCCCGGGAAACUGGGGAUAAUUCCGGAUAACGCACAUAUGCUGGAAUGCUUUAUGCGUCAAAUGGAUUCGUCUGCCCAAGGAUGGGUCUGCGGCCUAUCAGGUAGUAGUGGGUGUAAUSUACCUACUAGCCGACAACGGGUACGGGUUGUGAGAGCAAGAGCCCGGAGAUGGAUUCUGAGACAUGAAUCCAGGCCCUACGGGGCGCAGCAGGCGCGAAAACUUUACAAUGCGGGAAACCGUGAUAAGGGGACACCGAGUGUCAGCAUCAUAUGCUGGCUGUCCAGGUGUGUAAAAUACACCUGUUAGCAAGGGCCGGGCAAGACCGGUGCCAGCCGCCGCGGUAACACCGGCGGCCCGAGUGGUGAUCGUGAUUAUUGGGUCUAAAGGGUCCGUAGCCGGUUUGGUCAGUCCUCCGGGAAAUCUGAUAGCUCAACUAUUAGGCUAUCGGGGGAUACUGCCAGGCUUGGAACCGGGAGAGGUAAGAGGUACUACAGGGGUAGGAGUGAAAUCUUGUAAUCCCUGUGGGACCACCUGUGGCGAAGGCGUCUUACCAGAACGGGUUCGACGGUGAGGGACGAAAGCUGGGGGCACGAACCGGAUUAGAUACCCGGGUAGUCCCAGCCGUAAACGAUGCUCGCUAGGUGUCAGGCAUGGCGCGACCGUGUCUGGUGCCGCAGGGAAGCCGUGAAGCGAGCCACCUGGGAAGUACGGCCGCAAGGCUGAAACUUAAAGGAAUUGGCGGGGGAGCAC
Molecule: ribosomal RNA, 876 nt
Filed under: uncultured Methanosarcina sp.
Lineage: Archaea; Methanobacteriati; Methanobacteriota; Methanomicrobia; Methanosarcinales; Methanosarcinaceae
Description: bacterial SSU rRNA
Rfam family: Archaeal small subunit ribosomal RNA
Source: RNAcentral